ACUAUGGACUAAAGUUGCUGGGAAACCUGGGAUGAGUCACUUCCCUUCUCUGGGAACCCUCAUUGGUAAAAUGAAAAGGUUGAACUAGGAAAUCCCACUGGGCCUGGAAGAAAUGUCAGUGUGGGAAGAUCUCUCUCAAGGCAUCACCAUAAAUCUUUUCCUGUUUUCCUCUUGAAAGACAAGAUUUGGAAAAGUCAGUGCCGAGAUUGCAGCCUCUGCCCGGCCGCCACU
This 231-nucleotide long non-coding RNA is filed under the name Homo sapiens (human). RNAcentral's name for it is "HSALNT0359482". Lineage: Eukaryota; Metazoa; Chordata; Mammalia; Primates; Hominidae. The record is from RNAcentral.